Pomacea canaliculata is the source of this 236-nucleotide long non-coding RNA. RefSeq lists it as uncharacterized. The transcript has 3 exons. NCBI's taxonomy places the organism in Eukaryota, Metazoa, Mollusca, Gastropoda, Architaenioglossa, Ampullariidae. The record is from RefSeq and is a predicted model, not a curated record.
AGGCCAGGAGUGUUCAGGCGAAAAUGCAAACAACUGUGUGUCGGGUGCCUACUGCAUGACUACUUGUGAAUGUGAAGAUGACUACAAGGCUGUGUCCAAUCUCUGUGAACCUGCGGACUCUGGAACUGGAGGCACUUUCACACUCAACUCUAAGCGCAGCGCUGUCCGCAAGAUGUGGUUGUUCAGGUAGAGACUGACAUCAGGCACACAGUUGCUGACGAUAGUGGGAUGGCAUU